GCCAGCAUUCUAGGUUGGGCACUCUAAGGUGACUGCCGGCUAAAAGUCGGAGGAAGGUGGGGAUGACGUCAAAUCAUCAUGCCCCUUAUGACCUGGGCUACACACGUGCUACAAUGGCCGUUACAACGGGAAGCGAAGGAGCAAUCCGGAGCAAAUCCCUUAAAGGCGGUCCCAGUUCAGAUUGUGGGCUGAAACUCGCCCACAUGAAGGCGGAAUUGCUAGUAAUUGCAGAUCAGCAUGCUGCAGUGAAUACGUUCCCGGGCCUU
Molecule: ribosomal RNA, 266 nt
Filed under: uncultured Paenibacillus sp.
Lineage: Bacteria; Bacillati; Bacillota; Bacilli; Caryophanales; Paenibacillaceae
Description: partial 16S ribosomal RNA
Rfam family: Bacterial small subunit ribosomal RNA
Source: RNAcentral